UUUCACUUUCAUCAAGAGGCUUUUUAGUUCCUCUUCACUUUCUGCCAUAAGGGUGGUGUCAUCUGCAUAUCUGAGGUUAUUGAUAUUUCUCCGGCAAUCUUGAUUCCAGCUUGGCUGAGAUAAAUGGAUAUAAUUAAGCUAACCUGAGAACAUAAGUGAACGUAAGUGAGGGAUUAUGAUUUGACCCUGAGCCUGGUGACAUUUGUACUUGCAGGACAUUGGAGAGGAGAACACUGUUUGACAAGAGGGCCUCCAUCUCUGGAGAGACAUGAAGAUUGCAGGUGUAUGAGUAGUGAAGACAAGAGGAAGACAAAAACCAUGGAGGAGCUCAUGAUGGGGAUUACUGGAGAGCCACUUUCUGCGAUCCUAGCUGCAUGGAGUUGUGAAGUGGGCUAUUCUCAGGAGGAUGGCUGGAGCCACUGGAAGCUUCUGUUGAUGAUCUCAGCUGCCUGCUUAUAGCAGGUGAUUCCUGGGAGAAGCGCCGAAAGCCAAAGAGUGCUGCCAGCAAUGAUCUCAUCUGCCUGCAAACAGCUGCUGCUGAGAAAAAGGCUUCUUCUCUUUAAAAUCUUUGUGAAUGUCUCAUUGGCAGGAUCUAACCUUGAAUGAUGCCGAAAAGAGAUUCUGGGACAUGUAGUUCCACAAUGUAGACUGGAGUGAGAGUUAAGUUGAUGAAAGGCAAUUCAACACACUGAGUCAUUAGGAGGGAGCUCCUAAUUAAAGAUACACCAGACUGAAAGCUUCAUGAUGAGAAAGAUUUACUUUAAAAAAAAUUGAUAUAUCCCCAGCAGUUGGGUGCUUAUGGCUGAUGGCUAGCUGAGCAACACUGAAUCAUAUUCUCUUUCCACAGUGUAUGUAGACUUGUUUCUGGUGGGUGGCUACCUGUCUACUUUUCCUAGCUUCCCAUGCAUCUAAGUGAGACCAUGUAACUGGUUCUUGCCAAGGCACUGAGAACAGAAGGGAUGUGUAUCUAUUAUGAAUUAAGGUGGAUAGGUGCCAGGACCUCAACUUUAUGAGAUCUCUUUCUUUUUGCUGUGGUCUGGCUGAGUGUAAAGCAUUGGGAAGAAGACUCUGAAGAUACCCUAGGACAAGGCAGAGUCACUGAUGGGACUAUCUGGGAUCUUUUGUCAUCAUUUAAAUUAAAACUGCUGAUCAGGAAUAUCUGAUUUGACUUUGUAUAUAAGAACUAAAUCAGGUUGUAUAAAACCAAUGAAAUUUUGGGGUUGCUUGUCAUAAUACUUGGUCACUCUUAAAUUCUUAAGAAAUAUUCAAUGACUAAAUGAGUAAAGUAGAAAGGUUUACCAUGCCCUUUGCAAAUUCUUCCCUG
Long non-coding RNA from Bubalus bubalis (water buffalo), 1324 nucleotides. RefSeq lists it as uncharacterized. The record is from RefSeq and is a predicted model, not a curated record. The transcript is spliced from 3 exons. Lineage: Eukaryota; Metazoa; Chordata; Mammalia; Artiodactyla; Bovidae.